GGCAACCGCCGCGGCUUCCCGCGCCCACCCACCUCUCCCCGGCUACGGCGAGCGGCGAGCGGCAGAAAGAGCCGGCGCGGGCGGGGGGCGAAGCGCCCCCUGCCCUUCCCUGCAGAGCCGGUGCAGCAAGGAUUCGACGAUCAUUCCGAAUCUGAAGUGGAGGAAUCUGAGGACCACACACCUACAGUUGAAUCCCCACCAUCACUUACCUGGCGUGGAAGCACCAGCAUCUGCAGCCCAGCUAUCUGCAGUGGAAUUGCCAGUGUCUGCAGACCAGCUGGCUGUCAAGAAGCCACCACGUUCUGAUCACCACUUCCUGCUCAUUGUAUAGUCUGCAUCCAGGGAAAGCUCACCCGUGGGUGAGCUUCAGGUUUCAAAGUCAAGAUGCACACCUCUGAAUCCACACAGGAUGGCAGUAACACCGUUGAGACUGUGCUGUCAGCAGCAGAGAUUACAUUUGAAUCAUUGGAGAAUCCAGAGGCUUUUGGAGACCCCUAUCAAGUUGCCAUGAAUUAUGUGGAGGAACAUAAAAUUCUACAGAUAUUUCAGGAGAUCACAGAAAAACUGCUGAUCCAUAAGCCUGGUGACCCCUUGCAGUUCAUAUUGCUGGAGGUGCAGUCUAUGAUAAAUUCCAGGCAAGCAGAACCGGAGAAACUAUCGGAAUAGAACAAAGAUGUAUAGGUGUUUCUAGAAGAGGGCUUGUGCACUCCUUUUGGCCCCCAUGGACCUUGCUGUUGUGGUACUGCCACAGCAUGCCUUCACAGCACCGUGUAGUCAUUAGCAAUAACUUGGAAGAGAUCUGCUUCUCUGUCUCUUGUCUCGUUUCUCUGUUUUGUAUGCUUGUGCUUCCCCCUGGGUUUAAGUCCUGCAACUAAGUUUUGGUUUGGAAUCACAGACUGUGAUCUAAGUGUGCAUGGAUCUGCAUGCAUAUAUGGCACAUCUUGAAGAGGCAGGUCUGCUGAACUUCUAGGCGUAUAAAUGCAUAAAUCUCAUAUUUUGACCAAUCCACACUCUGCCUCUCUGUGCAGAGAAACCUCACAGCUCAGACAAUGCAAGGACAAAAGCAAGUAGAGUUAAAAAGCAGCCCUGGACAACCCACAGCCUUCUUUUUUCAUGCUGCAUCACUGGCUUACUGUGUCCAGUUAUGCAGCAGCACCAAUGCCUAUCUCAUACUUUGAUAGCUUGUGUCUGGGCUUUCCUCCUGCCCCCAGAGCUCCUCUAAUGCAAGAAGGUGCCUCUCUGCCUCUUCCACACACUGGAUACAGCUGUCUCACCCUUAAUCAUCCCUGCUGGACACUGAUCACUCUGCUUUUUGGGGUGGCCCUGCCUGUAUAAUUGUAAGUACAGUGUAUAACCAGAACAGUAAAGCAACAGUUGUACACACCCUUUAUGCUUUCAGGAGACAUUGUCACUCAGGAAUGUGGCAGGUGAAUAAAAGCAAAUAAACCAAAACCAAGCACUGGUAGAGAAUUAAGAGUCAAGGUACAUUUCGCAAGCACAUUAUUUGAACUGUGUUUGAUUUUUGAAACACUUACAGUGCUUAUUUUUAUACUA
Pyrgilauda ruficollis (rufous-necked snowfinch) is the source of this 1554-nucleotide long non-coding RNA. RefSeq lists it as uncharacterized. The transcript is spliced from 4 exons. The record is from RefSeq and is a predicted model, not a curated record. Lineage: Eukaryota; Metazoa; Chordata; Aves; Passeriformes; Passeridae.